CCCCGUCGAACAUUUUCUAAAGAUACUGUCACGGUGGUAUGACUCCCAUGGUGGUGGUUCAGUCUGGAUGGAUUUGGUAGGUAUGGUGGAUAGUGGUGGUUCAGUCUGGGUGGGCUUGGUAGGCGUGGUGGAUAGUGGUGGUUCAGUCUGGAUGGACUUGGUAGGUGUGGUGGAUAGUGGUGGUUCAGUCUGGAUGGACUUGGUAGGUGUGGUGGAUAGUGGUGGUUCAGUCUGGAUGGACUUGGUAGGUAUGGUGGAUAGUGGUGGUUCAGUCUGGAUGGACUUGGUAGGUGUGGUGGAUAGUGGUGGUUCAGUCUGGAUGGACUUGGUAGGUGUGGUGGAUAGUGGUGGUUCAGUCUGGAUGGACUUGGUAGGUAUGGUGGAUAGUGGUGGUUCAGUCUGGAUGGACUUGGUAGGUGUGGUGGAUAGUGGUGGUUCAGUCUGGAUGGACUUGGUAGGUAUGGUGGAUAGUGGUGGUUCAGUCUGGAUGGACUUGGUAGGUGUGGUGGAUAGUGGUGGUUCAGUCUGGAUGGACUUGGUAGGUGUGGUGGAUAGUGGUGGUUCAGUCUGGAUGGACUUGGUAGGUAUGGUGGAUCGUGGUGGUUCAGUCUGGAUGGACUUGGUAGGUAUGGUGGAUCGUGGUGGUUCAGUCUGGAUGGACUUGGUAGGUAUGGUGGAUAGUGGUGGUUCAGUCUGGAUGGGCUUGGUAG
Molecule: long non-coding RNA, 710 nt
Filed under: Salmo salar (Atlantic salmon)
Lineage: Eukaryota; Metazoa; Chordata; Actinopteri; Salmoniformes; Salmonidae
Description: lncRNA (ENSSSAG00000086174.1)
Source: RNAcentral